AGGAUUCCCCUAGUAACGGCGAGUGAAGCGGGAAGAGCUCAAAUUGGAAAGCUGGGCGUUCUGCGCCCCGCAUUGUAUCCUAAAGAGGCGUUUUCCGUGCCAGAGUUGGUUCAAGUCCCUUGGAAAAGGGCUCCGGAGAGGGUGAAAGACCCGUACUUGACCUUCGGCCUGGUGCUUUGUGAUACGCCCUCGACGAGUCGAGUUGUUUGGGAAUGCAGCUCAAAGUGGGUGGUAAAUUCCAUCUAAAGCUAAAUAUCUGGGAGAGACCGAUAGCGAACAAGUACCGUGAGGGAAAGAUGAAAAGAACUUUGGAAAGAGAGUUAAACAGUGUGUGAAAUCGUCGAAAGGGAAGGGUAUGGGCUCAGAUGUGUCUGCCCGGGUUCACCAUCUGUUUUCAGGUGGGUACUCCCGGCUGGACAGGCCAGCAUCGGCUUGGCGCUUUGGAUAACAUGCGGCGGAAUGUGGCAGCUCCCUCGGGCGCUGUGUUAUAGCCACCGCACCAUACAAAGCACCGGGCCGAGGAACGCAGCGUGCAAUUCAUUUUGCGGGCCCUCGGGCACCUUCACGCUUAGGAUGCUGGCAUAAUGUGCCUAUACCGCCCGUCU
RNAcentral lists this ribosomal RNA (605 nucleotides) under Capitulocladosporium clinodiplosidis. RNAcentral's name for it is "partial 28S ribosomal RNA". It matches the Rfam family "Eukaryotic large subunit ribosomal RNA", at positions 71 to 654 of the family's 3401-position model. Lineage: Eukaryota; Fungi; Basidiomycota; Ustilaginomycetes. The record is from RNAcentral.